Molecule: ribosomal RNA, 460 nt
Filed under: uncultured bacterium
Lineage: Bacteria
Description: partial 16S ribosomal RNA
Rfam family: Bacterial small subunit ribosomal RNA
Source: RNAcentral
CCUACGGGUGGCUGCAGUGAGGAAUAUUGGUCAAUGGGCGCGGGCCUGAACCAGCCAAGUAGCGUGAAGGAUGACUGCCCUACGGGUUGUAAACUUCUUUUAUAAGGGAAUCAAGUGAGGCACGUUUGCCUUUUUGUAUGUACUUUAUGAAUAAGGAUCGGCUAACUCCGUGCCAUCAGCCGCGGUAAUACGGAGGAUCCGAGCGUUAUCCGGAUUUCUUGGGUUUAAAGGGAGCGUAGAUGGGUUGUUAAGUCAGUUGUGAAAGUUUGCGGAUCAACCGUCAAAUUGCAAUUGAUACUGGCAGUCUUGAGUACAGGUGAGGUAGGCGGAAUGCGUGGUGUAGCGGUGAAAUGCUUAGAUAUCACGCAGAACUCCGAUUGCGAAGGCAGCUUACUAAACUGCCACUGACAUUGAUGCUCGAAAGUGUGGGUAUCAAACAGGAUUAGAUACCCGAGUAGUC